Molecule: long non-coding RNA, 1368 nt
Organism: Bos taurus (domestic cattle)
Lineage: Eukaryota; Metazoa; Chordata; Mammalia; Artiodactyla; Bovidae
Source: Ensembl
CUUAAACUUUUAGAAGCCUACAAUGAAAUGGACUGACAAUUUUCUGAAGGAGGGACAAAUUCCAGAUCUUUCUUAGGGCAUACAUGCGUCUUUAAGUCACUUCAGUUUUGUUUGACUCUUUGUGACCCUAUGGACUGUAGCCCACCAGGCUCCUCUGAUCAUGGAAUUCUCUAGGCAAGAAUACUGGAGCGGGCUGCCAUGCCCUCCUCCAAGGGACCUUCUUGAUCCAGGAAUCGAAUCCAUGUCUCCUGUGGCUCCUGCAUUGUAGGAGGAUUCUUUACCACUGAGCCACCGGGGAAGCUCAAACUUUCUUAGGCGUCCUGUUAAAAGGCUCCUUCUCUUAGAGUCUGUAAUGUGGAGGUUGCAGAAAUGGGCUUCUUUAUUUCUUCCCAGGCCUCCAGAGGAUCAUUUUCCAUUUUUUUCUCUUUUUCCAUAUUAAACAGAGCAUCAUACAUUCCUGAGCAUGCUUCUCCCACAGAUUUGUUUUGACAAGCAGUGGGGGAAGUUGGGAGGCCUGUAGAAUGGGCUGCAAGAUAACCUGAGGAUCUAGGAGAGCCCUUUCCAAAACAAUGGUUGAUUAUUUCCAGCUCUCUCUCAAGCUGGUCUUCUCAGAGAGCAGCCCUCAUCAAAGGGAGACAGGCUGCUCUCUGAUUACCUUCACCCUUGUCAGAGGUGUGUUCAGAGGCUUCCAUCACCCUGACGGUGACCUGCUAACAUCCAUGCCUCUGGUCAAAGUGCUGGUCGGGGCCACUUUGUCCAGGUGGACAGAACAAAGGACUGAGGAAGUCCCAGGUCCAACAGUGUUCUGAAGGAGCUAUUCUGCCAUCCUCAGAGGUGCCUGGAAAAGAUAGUGAGCUUGAAAUACUCUUUCUUCUUCGGUUUUGGACUAAGGAUGUGUUGCAAGAGAGAUUUAGGAGUUGAGAGUAAAAUACAGAUUAUUCAGAAAUGAAUGAACUCACAACUGAUUUUACGUCAGUGUUCACUUUAACUAGUAGAAUGUGAUCAAGGAUCCGGGGUGGUGGACCCAAUUCCUUUUUUUGAAAAGCUUUAUAUUUUGUACUGAGGUAUAGCUAGCUGGCAUUGUUGUGAUAGUUUCAGAUGGACAGUGAUGGGACUCAGCCAUACACAGACAUGUAUCCAUGCUGAUGGGGAACCCCGUUCUUUAGCUCUUCCAGCAAUCACCAAGGAGAGGUAAGUAUUAGCUAUCAGAUCCCUUUAGCUAAAUUUCAGACUAAAGACAAUGAAUAAAGGGGCUCAAUGUGAUUAGCCACCUGAGGAGUGCAGAUUAAAACCACCAGGAGAGACACAUACAUCAGAAUGGCCAAAACUUAAAAAGCCUGACAUACUUAAGUGCUGGUGAAGAUGGAG